RNAcentral lists this unclassified non-coding RNA (223 nucleotides) under Rozellomycota sp. RNAcentral's name for it is "Cryptomycota sp. partial contains small subunit ribosomal RNA, internal transcribed spacer 1, and 5.8S ribosomal RNA". The stretch from base 1 to 46 matches the Rfam family "Eukaryotic small subunit ribosomal RNA", at positions 1786 to 1831 of the family's 1831-position model. The record is from RNAcentral. Lineage: Eukaryota; Fungi; Rozellomycota.
AAGUCGUAACAAGGUUUCCGUAGGUGAACCUGCGGAAGGAUCAUUAACAAGUCUGCUGUCUGUUCUUGUACUAGCGUGGAAGGUGUACCCCUUCUGCGUCAAGUGCAAGGAUGACAUUUGUUCCAUGUUGCACGUUUACUCUGCACAUGACAUUCUACGAAUCAUCUGAUUAUUGACAAUGUUCAUAAACAAAUAACUUUUAACAAUGGAUCUCUAGGCUCCU